This 354-nucleotide unclassified non-coding RNA is filed under the name soil metagenome. RNAcentral's name for it is "partial contains 5.8S ribosomal RNA, internal transcribed spacer 2, and large subunit ribosomal RNA". The stretch from base 1 to 120 matches the Rfam family "5.8S ribosomal RNA", at positions 35 to 154 of the family's 154-position model. The record is from RNAcentral.
GAUGAAGAACGCAGCGAAACGCGAUAUGUAAUGUGAAUUGCAGAAUUCAGUGAAUCAUCGAAUCUUUGAACGCACAUGGCGCCUUCCAGUAUCCUGGGAGGCAUGCCUGUCCGAGCGUCGUUUCAACCCUCGAGCCCUCGUGGCCCGGCGUUGGGGAUCUGCCACGGCAGGCCCCGAAAUACAGUGGCGGACCCGUUAGGCCCUUCCUUUGCGUAGUAGCAUCAGCCUCGCAUCGGGAGCCGGCGGGCUCUCCUGCCUUUAAACCCCCCAACAAGCCCGCUCCGGCGGCACCAAGGUUGACCUCGGAUCAGGUAGGAAUACCCGCUGAACUUAAGCAUAUCAAUAAGCGGAGGA